Molecule: ribosomal RNA, 455 nt
Filed under: uncultured bacterium
Lineage: Bacteria
Description: bacterial SSU rRNA
Rfam family: Bacterial small subunit ribosomal RNA
Source: RNAcentral
GACGAACGCUGGCGGUAUGCCUAACACAUGCAAGUCGAACGAGAUUAUUUAUUUGUUUACAAAGAAAUGAUUGCAGUGGCGGACGGGUGAGGAACACGUAAGAACUUACCUUUUGGCGGGGGAUAACAACGGGAAACUGUUGCUAAUACCCCAUAACGCUGAGGAGCGAAAGGGAAACUGCCAAAAGAGAGGCUUGCGUCUGAUUAGCUAGUUGGAAGAGGUAAAUGCUCCCCAAGGCGACGAUCAGUAGCUGGUCUGAGAGGAUGAUCAGCCACACUGGGACUGAGACACGGCCCAGACUCCUACGGGAGGCAGCAGUGGGGAAUCUUAGACAAUGGGCGCAAGCCUGAUCUAGCCAUGCCGCGUGAGCGAUGAAGGCCUUAGGGGUUGUAAAGCUCUUUCAGGGGGGGAAGAUAAUGACUGUACCCCCAGAAGAAGCCCCGGCUAACUCCGUG